Molecule: ribosomal RNA, 250 nt
Filed under: uncultured bacterium
Lineage: Bacteria
Description: partial 16S ribosomal RNA
Rfam family: Bacterial small subunit ribosomal RNA
Source: RNAcentral
UACGGAGGAUCCGAGCGUUAUCCGGAUUUAUUGGGUUUAAAGGGUGCGUAGGCGGCAUGCUAAGUCAGGGGUGAAAGACGGUGGCUCAACCAUCGCAGUGCCUUUGAUACUGGUGUGCUUGAAUGCGGAUGAGGUAGGCGGAAUGUGGCAAGUAGCGGUGAAAUGCAUAGAUAUGCCACAGAACACCGAUUGCGAAGGCAGCUUACCAAGGCGCGAUUGACGCUGAUGCACGAAAGCGUGGGGAUCGAAC